This 489-nucleotide ribosomal RNA is filed under the name Escherichia coli. RNAcentral describes it as "partial 23S ribosomal RNA". It matches the Rfam family "Bacterial large subunit ribosomal RNA", at positions 474 to 964 of the family's 2925-position model. The record is from RNAcentral. RNAcentral also lists the same sequence under 1 other name. Lineage: Bacteria; Pseudomonadati; Pseudomonadota; Gammaproteobacteria; Enterobacterales; Enterobacteriaceae.
UCCUGACUGACCGAUAGUGAACCAGUACCGUGAGGGAAAGGCGAAAAGAACCCCGGCGAGGGGAGUGAAAAAGAACCUGAAACCGUGUACGUACAAGCAGUGGGAGCACGCUUAGGCGUGUGACUGCGUACCUUUUGUAUAAUGGGUCAGCGACUUAUAUUCUGUAGCAAGGUUAACCGAAUAGGGGAGCCGAAGGGAAACCGAGUCUUAACUGGGCGUUAAGUUGCAGGGUAUAGACCCGAAACCCGGUGAUCUAGCCAUGGGCAGGUUGAAGGUUGGGUAACACUAACUGGAGGACCGAACCGACUAAUGUUGAAAAAUUAGCGGAUGACUUGUGGCUGGGGGUGAAAGGCCAAUCAAACCGGGAGAUAGCUGGUUCUCCCCGAAAGCUAUUUAGGUAGCGCCUCGUGAAUUCAUCUCCGGGGGUAGAGCACUGUUUCGGCAAGGGGGUCAUCCCGACUUACCAACCCGAUGCAAACUGCGAAUACC